UAGAGUUUGAUCAUGGCUCAGAUUGAACGCUGGCGGCAGGCCUAACACAUGCAAGUCGAACGGUCACAGGAAUCAGCUUGCUGAUUUGCUGACGAGUGGCGGACGGGUGAGUAAUGUCUGGGAAACUGCCUGAUGGAGGGGGAUAACUACUGGAAACGGUAGCUAAUACCGCGUAACGUCGCAAGACCAAAGAGGGGGACCUUCGGGCCUCUUGCCAUCGGAUGUGCCCAGAUGGGAUUAGCUAGUAGGUGGGGUAACGGCUCACCUAGGCAACGAUCCCUAGCUGGUCUGAGAGGAUGACCAGCCACACUGGAACUGAGACACGGUCCAGACUCCUACGGGAGGCAGCAGUGGGGAAUAUUGCACAAUGGGCGCAACCUGAUGCAGCCAUGCCGCGUGUAUGAAGAAGGCCUUCGGGUUGUAAAGCUUUUCCAGCGGGGAGGAAGGGAGUAAAGUUAAUACCUUUGCUCAUUGACGUUACCCGCAGAAGAAGCACCGGCUAACUCCGUGCCAGCAGCCGCGGUAAUACA
RNAcentral lists this ribosomal RNA (530 nucleotides) under bacterium enrichment culture clone BW002. Its description in RNAcentral is "bacterial SSU rRNA". It matches the Rfam family "Bacterial small subunit ribosomal RNA", at positions 1 to 527 of the family's 1533-position model. The record is from RNAcentral.